Molecule: RNA transcript, 3352 nt
Organism: Alligator mississippiensis (American alligator)
Lineage: Eukaryota; Metazoa; Chordata; Crocodylia; Alligatoridae
Gene name: olfactory receptor 52A1
Exons: 2
Source: RefSeq, a predicted model, not a curated record
AGCGGUGGGGGCAGAUUGCGUUCUGCUGGGUGCAGAGCACCGGUAGUGUAAGAGUGGGUGGUGGCAGUAGCCACCACGUGCAAGCUCCCCCUGCCUCCUUCCCUGUUCCUGGGCGUCUCCCCUGUUAUUCUGGACCCGCAUGUGGCUAGUAUGUACGUAACACCCCCGCGCACACACUGGGCUGUGUGGGGUUUUUUCUGCGUGUGUUUUGACAUGGGCAAGAUGGCCCCCGUGGUUCUGGCCAUGUGCUCAGCACCUGGCAUGCUGGAGCCUGGAUCUGGGGGAAAUAUGUAAAACCCUCUGCCCUCAUUGGCCAGGAGCAGCAGAGGCUUCUUCAUGCAGAUUGGUUGGGAGAAAGACUCAAACGUGGCCCUCCCGGAUUGGACAAGGCGUGGAUGAUGUCACACCAGUAGGUUAAUGCCACGGGGGUGUUAACCCCUGAAGCAAGCUGCCCAGGAAUGGGUCCCGGCAGUUGCUGGCUGCAGGGGCCUGGCCCCUCCGUUCUGUAAUUGCACGGUCUCCACGUGGGAGAUAGCUAAGACCGGAUGUCCAGGCCACAGCCUCCGGCCUGGCCCGUUUUUCUCCUCUUUCUGCAGCUGCGGUGCUUCAUCCUAGUCGCGUGGCUGAGCCCCAGCUAUAGGUGUACGCCCCAGCGCAGUAUAGGCCUGGCCGGCAUUUGCUGCCCAGUUCAGGCCCAGUGAGACACGCCUGGCCUCUCCUGCGAAGUUUCUUUUUGCAAUGUCUGUCCUGCAGAGCUGGGAUUGGGGUUGAGUUAAUCUGACAGCCCCCACCCGCCAGACACUGUACUAAAUACAUGGGUUUGAAUAAGGAAUUGGCUUUUGGGCUGGGAUUAUGGCUGGAAAUCCAUGCACUUCAGCAGCUUCCCACGGCCCAGCGAACCCACGGAGCCGCUGAAAAGACUCCCCAGUGAAGCCCCGUGUGCAGUUUAUUGCUGAAGGGCAGGUAUCGGGGUGCAGUCCCCUGUAACUGCCUUUGGGGUGAGCCCCAAGCCCCAGACUACCUGGGCACGGGUGAAGCCACCCCAAGAGGGUGCAAGCUGUGAACUAUGCCUUGUAGUUGGUAGUGUUUUAACCUGUAUUUGGUGUUUCCUUUGUUUCCUUUGCCUUUGUUUCUGUAAUACAUUUGUUCUCCGUGUUUAUACUACUUGCAAGGAGGUGAGACUGAAAUUGGUUCCUUAUUUCUUAUUCCUGAUUCCUUUUUCAAAGCUAAUCUAGACCCAUGAAAAACUUGUUGUUAAUGAAUUGCACAUCCUAAACAGAGAGACUUUCAUUAGCUAUGCAUAUGUACUAUUUAAUAUGUAAAAUAAUAUCCCUCAUCAAGUACAGAGCCCUAAAUGAAGGUCAGAUUAGGAUGGGAUUAUGGGGCAAAAUACUUCUUGGGCCACCCCAAAUUUCCUGUCAAUGCCGCUGGGGGACUGUCCCAAAGAACCAGGACUGCAGUCCUGCCCGGCCCAAAGCACGGUUUGGCCUUGCCAGGCUGCCAACUAACAGCCCCCAUGCCCACUAUACUGGGGCUGGGAAAUGCAGUGAGCACAGCUUGACCUGGGAUGCCCCAUGGAGCCAAUGGGGAUCUAAUCCAGCGGUUCCCAAACUGCGGGUCACGACCCCAAAGGGGACGCAGCGUCAGUGGAUGGGGUUGUGGCGCAGCGCUCUCUCCGGCACCGGGUGCUGCCUGCUGAGCUGCAGACACCCCGGAGAAGGGCAGCAGGGCAGGGAGCCCCAAGCAGCCCACAACACCCCCCUCGCCCCCCAGGCCCCCCUCUGGCUGUCACAUACCAGACACAUAGGAGCCUGCUUAAAACCUUGAAAAAUACAGUAUGAUAAGCUGCAAGUCAUGCCUCAUUAUUUCUUUUCAGAAGGUCCAGCUGCAAACUCGCAUCCUUUUGCACUAUGCAGUUGUCAUCCAUAUUUUGUAUUUUAACUUUUGUAAGUAGGCCCAGCUCAGCUUGAGCUUCACAGUCAUCAUCGGGGGGUGUCCGUCACUUCACCAAGGGUCUCUGCCACUCCUCCUGGGGUCUCCAUGCUCCUCCAUGAUGCCAGGGGGUGUCCAUUGCUCCACUGAGGGUUUCUGUUGCUCCAUGGAGGGGUCUCUGUCACUCCCUCAUGCCCCUGUGGGUAUCCAUCGCUCCUCUGUCCUGCCAGGGGUUUCUGCUGGUCCUCUUCAGAUUGCCAGGGAGCCCCAGAUCUGCUAGGUCCUGCCUGGCACCAGAGGGAGGCUCGGGGAUUUUUUCCAGCUGUUAUUCCUACAGUACAAUAGUACAGUCUCAUGUAAAGUCACUACAAAGCCCUGUACUCGGAAGCACUUUUACUCUGAAAAGUUCAUUGAAAAUAUCCAGGGAGUGACUCCUGUCUGGGAUCUUUUCCUUUUCCCCACACCUGUGUUUUUCACCAAAACUACGGCCAACUGGACCUGGGUUAAAUACCCGACCUGUCCUACUAUGGAGUGGACUUUGGGGCCACAAUGUUUUGGCAGCAUUUCCUCCGCCAGGGAUAAGACUAAUACUCCUUUCUAAGAUGCUCUUCUGCACAAGGCCAUUGGCAGCCUAGGCUUGACAGGGUUGUUGGCCCCAAAAAACCUAUUUGUCUAAAUAUUCAAGGGGUUGGCCCUGAACAGACCUUAAACAAACCAAAAUCGAUGGCUGGCCAACUAAUAGUUCGAUGGGCGGGGGAACUGAGGAGUGGAUCCAAGCUCUGGCAUCUAUCAAGUAGAUGCUCAGACCACCAAGUAACGGUAUCCACACAUGGACUGAAACCUUAAGGAAUUAAAAUGGUUUAUUAAACACAAUGAACAACCACUAAAAAAUACCAAAACCUAUUACUUAUCCUGGAAACAGUUUACUGUACUAAGUGUAUAGACAUAAAUUCCCACUAUUGGCACUACUAUAUGCGAGGGUCCAUACAGACGUAUACAAACGUAACACAGGAAAGGAUGGGUGAUAUUUAUUUCCCUAGGAGGACUACGAGGUCGUACAACGGGUUAGAGGAAAAGAAGCCAGGAUGACCCUCAAGUCUUCUCCUAUCUCUAUAUUGAUGAUGUAGUCUUCCAUGGCCCCAGAGGCAGAAUGGGGCAGGGAGCAGAGUUAGAGCUAGUAACAGCAAGAGGUAGGGUAACACUCUGCAUACUUCACUAGAGCACAGACCCGUGUCUGUACGAGGCCCCGCUCCUCAUCUCGUACUCCUAGGCUGGCCUCCUAGUGCAGUUACGAGCAACAGACUUUGGUAACGAUAACAUCUGCCGAGUGAUUGGGACUGAGUGUGUGUGUGAAUGAAUGAGCGCUCUUUUGAAUAUUUUAAUCAAUAAACGGGGCAUCUUGCCUUAUCCCCCCUUAUAA